AGAGUUUGAUCAUGGCUCAGAUUGAACGCUGGCGGCAGGCCUAACACAUGCAAGUCGAGCGGUAGAGAGAAGCUUGCUUCUCUUGAGAGCGGCGGACGGGUGAGUAAUGCCUAGGAAUCUGCCUGGUAGUGGGGGAUAACGUUCGGAAACGGACGCUAAUACCGCAUACGUCCUACGGGAGAAAGCAGGGGACCUUCGGGCCUUGCGCUAUCAGAUGAGCCUAGGUCGGAUUAGCUAGUUGGUGAGGUAAUGGCUCACCAAGGCGACGAUCCGUAACUGGUCUGAGAGGAUGAUCAGUCACACUGGAACUGAGACACGGUCCAGACUCCUACGGGAGGCAGCAGUGGGGAAUAUUGGACAAUGGGCGAAAGCCUGAUCCAGCCAUGCCGCGUGUGUGAAGAAGGUCUUCGGAUUGUAAAGCACUUUAAGUUGGGAGGAAGGGUUGUAGAUUAAUACUCUGCAAUUUUGACGUUACCGACAGAAUAAGCACCGGCUAACUCUGUGCCAGCAGCCGCGGUAAUACAGAGGGUGCAAGCGUUAAUCGGAAUUACUGGGCGUAAAGCGCGCGUAGGUGGUUUGUUAAGUUGGAUGUGAAAUCCCCGGGCUCAACCUGGGAACUGCAUUCAAAACUGACUGACUAGAGUAUGGUAGAGGGUGGUGGAAUUUCCUGUGUAGCGGUGAAAUGCGUAGAUAUAGGAAGGAACACCAGUGGCGAAGGCGACCACCUGGACUAAUACUGACACUGAGGUGCGAAAGCGUGGGGAGCAAACAGGAUUAGAUACCCCUGGUAGUCCACGCCGUAAACGAUGUCAACUAGCCGUUGGAAGCCUUGAGCUUUUAGUGGCGCAGCUAACGCAUUAAGUUGACCGCCUGGGGAGUACGGCCGCAAGGUUAAAACUCAAAUGAAUUGACGGGGGCCCGCACAAGCGGUGGAGCAUGUGGUUUAAUUCGAAGCAACGCGAAGAACCUUACCAGGCCUUGACAUCCAAUGAACUUUCUAGAGAUAGAUUGGUGCCUUCGGGAACAUUGAGACAGGUGCUGCAUGGCUGUCGUCAGCUCGUGUCGUGAGAUGUUGGGUUAAGUCCCGUAACGAGCGCAACCCUUGUCCUUAGUUACCAGCACGUUAUGGUGGGCACUCUAAGGAGACUGCCGGUGACAAACCGGAGGAAGGUGGGGAUGACGUCAAGUCAUCAUGGCCCUUACGGCCUGGGCUACACACGUGCUACAAUGGUCGGUACAGAGGGUUGCCAAGCCGCGAGGUGGAGCUAAUCCCAUAAAACCGAUCGUAGUCCGGAUCGCAGUCUGCAACUCGACUGCGUGAAGUCGGAAUCGCUAGUAAUCGCGAAUCAGAAUGUCGCGGUGAAUACGUUCCCGGGCCUUGUACACACCGCCCGUCAAGCCAUGGAAGCUGGGGGUGCCUGAAGUCGGUAACCGUAAGGAGCUGCCUAGGGUAAAACUAGUAACUGGGGCUAAGUCGUAACAAGGUAGCCGUACCGGAAGGUGCGGCUGGAUCACCUCCUUA
This 1522-nucleotide ribosomal RNA is filed under the name uncultured Pseudomonas sp. Its description in RNAcentral is "16S ribosomal RNA". It matches the Rfam family "Bacterial small subunit ribosomal RNA". The record is from RNAcentral. Lineage: Bacteria; Pseudomonadati; Pseudomonadota; Gammaproteobacteria; Pseudomonadales; Pseudomonadaceae.